GAUGAACGCUAGCUACAGGCUUAACACAUGCAAGUCGAGGGGAAACGGCAUUGAGUGCUUGCACUCUUUGGACGUCGACCGGCGCACGGGUGAGUAACGCGUAUCCCACCUUCCCAUUACUGUGGGAUAACCUGCCGAAAGGCAGACUAAUACCGCAUAGUCUUCGAUGACGGCAUCAGAUUUGAAGUAAAGAUGUAUCGGUAAUGGAUGGGGAUGCGUCUGAUUAGCUUGUUGGCGGGGUAACGGCCCACCAAGGCGACGAUCAGUAGGGGUUCUGAGAGGAAGGUCCCCCACAUUGGAACUGAGACACGGUCCAAACUCCUACGGGAGGCAGCAGUGAGGAAUAUUGGUCAAUGGACGGAAGUCUGAACCAGCCAAGUAGCGUGCAGGAGGACGGCCCUAUGGGUUGUAAACUGCUUUUGUAUGGGGAUAAAGUUAGGGACGUGUCCCUAUUUGCAGGUACCAUACGAAUAAGGACCGGCUAAUUCCGUG
This 492-nucleotide ribosomal RNA is filed under the name uncultured bacterium. RNAcentral describes it as "partial 16S ribosomal RNA". It matches the Rfam family "Bacterial small subunit ribosomal RNA", at positions 28 to 507 of the family's 1533-position model. The record is from RNAcentral.